AGAGCAUGGAGCUUAUAUGAAUCGCUGAAACUAAAACAAACCUUAUUAUGUAAUGAAUCAGGAAGUGCAGAAGACUCUUUUGCAAUCCCAAGUUUGGAAAAAAUCCGAUAGAAGUCCGGUUACUGCAGCUGAUUACGGUUUGUACCUCGUCGUUUGCAUACCCGCGAAUUCAACUUCAAGUUUCUGUUUUUGCUAAGUUCUUGUUUUCUCUAUAAAAUCAAUCAAGAAAAUGUCUUUUACCACUCCCAUUAACGGAUGGUUUCUUCAGGCUCACAAGCUGUGGUUAGUCUUGUAUUGGAGAGGGAGCUCCAACCUGAUAAACUGUCAUUAGUAGCUGAAGAGGUGAAAUAACACUUGAAAACCUAUAUUAAUCAGAGGUUUUAUAGCGUAAAUGUUACUCGGGUUUUAUAACGGGGAAAUCUUACAGGAAACUGGAGAUCUGCGGAAGAAUGGAAGUGAGGCGUUUCUAGAAGAUAUUGCAAAGCUUGUGAAAGAUACUCUAGCCUCUGAGGAAUCGUACACCAGCUCUCCUCUAUCCACAGAUGAUGUGUUAAAUGCUAUAGACUG
This 567-nucleotide long non-coding RNA is filed under the name Arabidopsis thaliana (thale cress). Its description in RNAcentral is "long non-coding RNA (ATHA_LNC000519)". The record is from RNAcentral. Lineage: Eukaryota; Viridiplantae; Streptophyta; Magnoliopsida; Brassicales; Brassicaceae.